UCUACAGUAAAGAAUGGGAGACACUCCCCAGAUACAGGAGUGCCAAACUUGUAGAGCCAUACCCAAGAAGACUUGAGGCUGUAAAAGCACCUUAGCAGCUUACGGACUGGGAUUUAUGCAUCGAGGCUGUGAAUGAAUGGCCAGGCUGGAGUAUGUCCUGGAGUAUUGAGAGCAACAAUAAAAAUUAUAUUGCAAGGAAAUCAUUUUAAAAUGUGAGAACUAAUAAAUUGUACAUCUGA
This is a long non-coding RNA of Oncorhynchus nerka (sockeye salmon), 239 nucleotides long. RefSeq lists it as uncharacterized. Lineage: Eukaryota; Metazoa; Chordata; Actinopteri; Salmoniformes; Salmonidae. The transcript has 2 exons. The record is from RefSeq and is a predicted model, not a curated record.